AGUGAACGCUGGCGGUAGGCCUAACACAUGCAAGUCGAACGGCAGCACAGGAGAGCUUGCUCUCUGGGUGGCGAGUGGCGGACGGGUGAGGAAUACAUCGGAAUCUACUCUGUCGUGGGGGAUAACGUAGGGAAACUUACGCUAAUACCGCAUACGACCUACGGGUGAAAGCAGGGGACCUUCGGGCCUUGCGCGAUUGAAUGAGCCGAUGUCGGAUUAGCUAGUUGGCGGGGUAAAGGCCCACCAAGGCGACGAUCCGUAGCUGGUCUGAGGGGAUGAUCAGCCACACUGGAACUGAGACACGGUCCAGACUCCUACGGGAGGCAGCAGUAGGGAAUAUUGGACAAUGGGCGCAAGCCCGAUCCAGCCAUACCGCGUGGGUGAAGAAGGCCUUCGGGUUGUAAAGCCCUUUUGUUGGGAAGGAAAUCCAGCUGGCUAAUACCCGGUUGGGAUGACGGUACCCAAAGAAUAAGCACCGGCUAACUUCGUGCCAGCCGCCGCAGUAA
RNAcentral lists this ribosomal RNA (506 nucleotides) under uncultured bacterium. Its description in RNAcentral is "partial 16S ribosomal RNA". It matches the Rfam family "Bacterial small subunit ribosomal RNA", at positions 29 to 523 of the family's 1533-position model. The record is from RNAcentral.